This 72-nucleotide transfer RNA is filed under the name Camelus bactrianus (Bactrian camel). It matches the Rfam family "tRNA". From Rfam's summary of the family: Transfer RNA (tRNA) molecules are approximately 80 nucleotides in length. Lineage: Eukaryota; Metazoa; Chordata; Mammalia; Artiodactyla; Camelidae. RNAcentral also lists the same sequence under 1 other name. The record is from Rfam by way of RNAcentral.
GAGGAUGUAGCUCAGUGGUAGAGCACGUGCUCAGCUUGCACAAGGUCCUGGGUUCAAUCCCCAGUAUCCCCA